GGACGUUAUUGUUGAAAAUUAUGAACGGACCUCAGAGCGCUUUUCACUAGAAGAGUCUUACGAUCGUGCGGUUUGUGUAAGAGAGACAGGGCAGAAUACCAAAUGUUCAGGAUUUUGUUCAGUCUAUCUUAAGCGUGGUGACGAAAAGAUUUUGUUCAGUCUAUCUUAAGCGCGGUGACUUAAGCGCGGUGAUAGCCUGCGAACAGACUCUCAAGCUGAAUUGAGAGCCUGCAUCGAUGACUAAUGAAUUUGAAUAUCUGC
Molecule: non-coding RNA, 261 nt
Organism: Paramuricea clavata
Lineage: Eukaryota; Metazoa; Cnidaria; Anthozoa; Malacalcyonacea; Plexauridae
Source: the annotation of a GenBank genome assembly